AGGAAUUCUCCUGCCUCAUCCUCCACGUAGCUGGGAUUACAGAUAAACUCAGAUCCCUCUACUUUCCAAGUGUGAGAAGAUUUUGUUCUACAGUCGCUUCUGUGAGAUCACCACAGCCCUGGCAAACCAAGAGGGAGGAACCUUGUGCCUUUGAAGUGUGAUUCACAGUGCUUGAUAAAGUGCCAGUAUUCUCUAAAUUUUAGGUUCACAGCAAAUUGGAUGGAAGUUACAGAAAUUCUUCUAUUUUUAAUUUUAAACUAACAUACGACAAAAGGAUUUCCUGAUUUAUCCACCAUUUCAAAAAAAGGUCCGAAGAAAAUGAAGGAGCCUCUUCCUGUACUCAUGGUACAUAAGGUAACAGAAACCACAGAAAUCAAAACCGUGGAUAAGAGGAGACUACAGAAAGAUUUCUCCUUCUGGAGUACAUGAAUCAAAUUGCAUUGAAUCAAAAGUUUUGUGAAGAUUUGAGAUGAGAAUGAGAGCCAAAUAAGCCAUAUCAUAAGAAGCUGUGAUCAGAAAUAAAAUGAGGACAAUGCUUACUGUGGCUUUCAAGGCAGGAGAAAGCACACCCGAGGGGGUCGUGUCCCACACUAGGCAGAUCUAAUGGUGCCACAAAAGACAGGUGUUUUGUCAGAUUUCAGCCACACACUUUCACACCUGCAACGCAUUAACUACCGCAGCAAUGUUAAUGAAGACCAGGUGCCUGUUCUCCAGCAUAAAUGAGGAACUGGCAGGAGAUUUGCUGUUUGCUACCUGACGUCUACCCCUGAGUCUCUGAACCCCGUCCUUCUGGUUGAAGGGGAAGGUGUAGUGAUGUACAAAAAAUGAUUCCUGUUGGACAUUCAACACGAUACUCCAAUGUACUUUGAACACGUCAUGUUCUGUGAAGGUAAAAAUGGGCAGUGACUGCUGUCUCUGUGUACUUCGGAACAUUUCUUUCUGAGCCUAUAAAGUGUUUGGCUGGCAUGCAGGGGCCUGAGGAAGCUUAAGGAGAAACCUCGUCCCAUGACACAUAAUCCUACCACACCCUGAAAUGGAUAGAUGGUUGGGUCAUGCCAGUGUGCACACACAGACUGGUAAGUGGAAGAUUAGCCAGAAUUGUGAAAGAUGCUACCAUACAGCCACCCAGUUCUGCCAAAGGAGAAGGUCACUUGCCAACGGCAAAUGUAAAUGGCCAUGAAUAUCCUGUUCUCUUUCUGUCAAAGUUGGUUCUGAGCACUGAGGGGAGAGACAGAAUUAAAAGUAGACACAGCAGCGAGUAAAGCUAUCUCUGUCUAAUGGAGUGUCUGUAUUUUUGGGUACAUGAUUUUUCUAUACCUGAGAUGAAUAAUUCAUUCUCAAGGAACCCCAAAGCAAAAGUUUAAAGAUGAUUAAAAAAUAACUUUGGCUUCUGAUCUUCUGAUAACUGGGAACUCUGUGAUAGAGACAUAGAAAACUAUUAGGAAUUAAAACCAAAACAAGACCGGGCUUUAGGGAUUCCCCUCACACUAUUAUACUGUCAUGGAAGGCUCAGGAUAACCAGGCUAGCCGUACAUAAAGUAAUUAAUAAAGUAGGUCAAUUACAAAGCUAGAAGAGUUUUAUUUAGCGUGAUAUUGAUCACAUCUUGAAUCAUCUCCCUGAAUCUCCGUAUUUUUCUUUUUUAUUAAAAACAGAAUAGCGUUCUUGAAGAAUUGUUUUAUCUACACUUCUGUAAUUGUUCUCUAAACAGAGAAUUGUUUAGAAGGACCAGUUCCCUAGCAAUAUAUGACCUUUCUAACUAUACUUCAUGUCAUCUCAUGCAGGCCCUAUCUUCUGUAAAAUUAGGCCUCCAUUGUGUUUCUCACUCAAGAUUCUUCUUUAUUAUUUCCCAGAUUCUCUGGAUGGAGCAUUUUCUUUAUAAACAACAUAUUUGUGCUCAUCUGUUGUGGAUGCUCUUGGUGCCCCAUCCAGACCUCCUUUACCAGGCUGAUGCACGAACACUCUAGCUUCUAAGAAUGUUCACUGUUAGCUUAUAGAUUCUCCUUUUCUACAGAGUCACCCUUGGCUAAGUAGGAGCCACUAUAUCCUUUAGUAUACAUUACCAGCUUAUAGCCAUUGAUUAAGGGAAGACAAAAGUCAGCCCUUGUCUCAAGGUAGGGCCAAUUCUGAAGUGAAAUUCAUGCUCCAGAGCUCCCUGUGGGGCCAGGCUACAGUUAGUUUCUAGCUGGGCCACAUGCAUGCUUAGCUUGUUUUGCCUUAUCCUGCUGCCCUCACUUCUCUUCCCCUGAGAACACUAACACAAGAGUCCCUGUCCAGGCCCUGCUUCAAGGGAACCUGCCAAUCAUCAUGACUGUGAACAUUUAGGGCAGGUGGGUAGGAGUCUGAGAGUGGUAAUGGGAUUGGAGGGGGUUUAGCACAUAAUUUACCCUAAUAAGUGUUUGCUAAAUGAGUGGAUUUUCCAGGCUUGAUGCUUGGAUUAAAAGUAGCACAGCUGUCUUCAAAAGAUCUAUUUCUCAAGCAGGGCUGGGCUCCCUGAUUCACUCCUGGAUUGGAAACAAAAUAAGUGGGAAAAUUUCAUAAGGCUUAUUGUCGAAUAGAAAGACAUUGAUGAUUGUUAAUGAUGUUAAUUAAUCAACAGGGAUUAUUAAGUGCCAGCUUUUCCCAGCAUGUGACUAAACACCCAGGUCUGUGGUAACUGUGAUGAAGAAAAUAACCUCUUUUAUCUUAUAAAAAAAAAAUCUUAUCUUCAUGUGGAGAUAAAACUUACUCAAAUGAAACAAUGAAAAUAUAAGACUGUGUUCACAUGACAAAAUGUACUUCAUAGGUAAUAAGUUCCAAAGGAAAUUCAGAGAAGUAAGAAAUCAAUGUGGGCGUUUGUGAGUUAGGCAAGUCUUGGAGGAAUAGGUGUGUGUGGGAGGGACAGGAGAGAAGACAUUCCAAGUGGGAGAAGAGGUAAGAAGAAAGGUGUGGAGACAGUAAUGAGGAUACUACUAUUUGCCAGGAGAUAUAACAUGAGAAAAUAAGUUCCCCCUGAGUUCACUUCCUUUUUAUAUUUCCAUCCCAUUAUCCUAUUUCCAUUUAUUCUUCAUUCAUUUAUUAAUUCAGUAAUCAAAUAUUCUUUGAGACCUACACUGUUCCAAGAACUGCAUUAUGUCUUAGGGAUAUGGGAAUGAAAAGAAUACCCAUCAUUGUUCUCAAGGAACUGACAGUCUCCAGAGAGAUAAAAUUAGCAAACAGACAAUUACAAUACAGGGUUGUCAUGGUACUUUAAGAGUAAGCAUAGGGUGCUAGGAGAGAACAAAGGAGAGGCAUGGAAGCCAGACUUGGGGGAAGGUCCAAAAAGGCUUCCUGAAGAAGUGACAUCUUAUUGGAGACAUAAAGAGUGGGUAGAAUUUAGCCAGGUGAAGGAGAGUGCAAGAAAAUAAUUGUGGGGAUGCAUGGUGCUUUGAGGAAAGUGAGGGGUGCAGUAUCACUGAUGUGUGUGGAGGACAGAAAGACCAAGGGUGGACAAUAAACGGGCCAGAUCAGGGACCACCCUGUAAUUAAAGGAGUAUGGACUGCAUCUUUAGGGCCAUGAUAACCAUUAGUUGACUAAAGUAUUAAAAUUACUUGAUCGGAUUAUUUCUGAAACAUUACUUUAGUUGGAGUAGUUUGAAUAGGUUGGUCUCGACCAAACUGGAUGCUGAUAGACAUGCUAAGAAGCUUUGUUAUGCACAUGGCAAAUGAUGGUGGGAAUGGAGAGAAGUGAAGGUAAAGUGACAUAAAUUGGAGUUUCAUUGGUUUUGGGAGAAGAGAAUAAAAAAGUCGAGAAUAAUACUGAAGAAUUUACAUUAAGCAACUAGGGUGGGGAGUAAUGGUAUCUUCAUCAAGUUAGGGAGCAUGAGAGGAAGAGUGAGAUUGGGGAACAGAUGAUUACUCAGUUUUUGACGUGAUAGUUUUGAGAAUCCUGGGGAUAAUCAAGCAGAGAUGUUGAAUAGGUGGGUCUGGAAGUUAGAAGACACUUUUGGGGUGGCAAUAUAGAUUUGGGGUUUCUACUAAUAAACCACUCACUUUACUUCCAUCCUAUUUUGUUUAGUGGUACCAACACCCUCUUAUUUGCUCAGGUUAGAAACUCAUAUUUCCCUAAGGGGUCCAUGGAUGGGCUUCAUAGGAUUCUUGAACCUCCUUGAAAUUGCAUGCACAAUUUUGGGUAUAAGUGAAUAAGUGCCUUUUUCUAGUACCAUGAGAUGUAGAAUUUUAUGGAAUUUGCAAAAGGUUACUUGACUUCCCUCUUGUCCCCCCAAAACAAAGAGAAUCCAAAGUGACUUGGGGUCUUUGUCUCUUUUCCUCUCUUCUUUAUAUUUACUCAUGCGUCGUGUUCUUCAGUCUUAUCUUUGAAGUCAUAUUUAUAUCCCUUAUCUUUCCUCAUUGCUAGCCUCCUAGUUCAGAUCCUUACUGCUUGUAACUUUAAGAACUUACAUUGGAAUCCCUCAACUUUCUAAUACAUGUAACUGCAUAUUUUUUUUCUCCAAACUGCUACCAACUAUAUUAGUUGAGUUCCCACCUUUAUGGGCAGCAAGAAAAUUUAACUUUGUCAGCCCCUCCUGGUAAUCAUCAGCUUAGUUUACUGAUUUUUUGCAAUCCAGUUAUUAAAAUCUCAGACUCUAUUCAAAACAUCUUAUCUUUAAUUAAAUUAGAUAUGACUAGGCUGCUAGAAGCUGAUUGAGGAGGAGUAGAGUGUAAUUGGUUCUUUACCUCUUUUCUUCUGAUCUCAGGCAACUGUUCUGCUGAUGGGGGUAUCAGAGAGGUCAGGGUGACUGAAAAGAAUUCACUCAUGUGAUUGCCAGCAUGUUGAAGAUGGCAAGCUGGCAAUCUUUUCUUUAAAGUCAGCCAAUACCUGGUCUAAUUUCUGGGUGGUGGUAACCAGCCUCCAGUUACACAGCAUUACAUCUUAGGUGGUCUUUGAUGCCCAGCCAGCAGUCUUAUGGAGGUAGAACAGCUUCCUUCUCUCCCUCCUGGUGGGUGGCUCUCAGUAUCCUCCUCACAUCAACCCAUCAUUCAUCAAUAUGGCCCACCCAUAGUGGUGCCCACCCCUUAUUUGGUGACCUGGGCUAGGUCCACAGAAAACUUGGGAUCAUUGGUACACCUGCCUCAAUUUGUAUGAGACUGUGAGGGGGUAGCAACCUUAAUGUACUAGGACUUACUCAUUUACUCUCUCUUAGGAUUCAACACCCAAAAUAUUCUAUGCAUUUUCUUGGGACUGUUAACUUUCAGGUGCAGCAAAGGUUCAUAACAAUCUUCACUUCCUAAUGAUGCUUUCAGAUUUCAUGAGUGAUUCUCCAGGGAACAUCUGGCUUGGUUGGGCACAGAUAAAUAGCCAAACUGCUUCCCUCUCAGCCCCGUUCCACAUGGAGAGAAGUAAAUACUGAUUCACAAACUCACCUCUUCCCAAAAGAUGACUCCUCUUCCCCUCUCUGUUUCCUUCAGGGGGGCUGCUCUACUGAUUCUUCUGAAAGGUCACCUUGUUAGCAGGUCCCCAGUCAGGGAUGUAUGGCCUUGUUGUUUUUCAGCUUUGAGGUGCCUCUACUUGGUAACUCCCUAGGAAGGAGUCUCAGUAUGUAUCACAACUUCAUGUUACCAUCUUUUAACUGGUAACCAUGAUACAAUUUCUUGUCUCUCUCACAUAUUUUUCCUAAAUGUUUUAACUUCGAUGACUCCCCAAGGUUGAGACAAAUACCUUCAGACUGGCCUCCACAGUCCUUUAAAAUUGUGGCCUCCAAGUACCUUUGCAAUCUCAAUUCUUACCAUAAGCUCUUUGAAUAAUAUGGGCAAUAAUCAAACAGAUCCUGCCCUAUCAAUGUUCCAUGAUGUUGGUCAUGCCUUUCCCUUUGCCUGCAACAUCCCUUCUUUAAUUUUUAUUGAAAAUUCUUCUAUUCAUUGUUUAGGUCAACCUCCCAUGUCAUCUCCAUAAUGUCUUACCAUUCUUUCAACAGGAAUCAAUCCUGUCUAUGCCAUUUGCAGCAUGCUUUUACUUGUCUGAUUCUUUGACAUCAUAAGAAACAGUGAAGUGGCCUAGCCAGGUGCCUUAAACAUAGCAAAUGUUCAACAGUUCAGUCAGACUGAAAUGACAGGGGAAGUGCAGUCAGAUCAUGUGAGGAGUCUUAAAUGACUAAAUGACCUUGGAUACUAUUUCAGUUGAUUUCUAUUAAAGACUUGGGAAAGCCAACUUUCACUGAUUUUUGCAAUUUAUAGAAAUGCUCCCAUUGCAAUAGCUUGUGAGCAUAUUGCCAAAAAACUAUAACAAAAAAUUCAACUCACGAAUUGUGCCUGUCUUCCUGAUAGGGUGCUCUAUGCUUGUUAGUAUCUAGAGGACAAAUGAAAACCAUGUGCUCUGGAUCUAAAACACAAUCAACAAGUGGGGACAUGGAAUCUAAAAGAAGAUCAAG
This 6384-nucleotide long non-coding RNA is filed under the name Homo sapiens (human). Its description in RNAcentral is "HSALNT0351195". Lineage: Eukaryota; Metazoa; Chordata; Mammalia; Primates; Hominidae. The record is from RNAcentral.